GACGAACGCUGGCGGCGUGCUUAACACAUGCAAGUCGAGCGGUAAGGCCCUUUCGGGGGGUACACGAGCGGCGAACGGGUGAGUAACACGUGGGUGACCUGCCCUCAGCUCUGGGAUAAGCCUGGGAAACCGGGUCUAAUACUGGAUAUGACUCCAUGACGCAUGUUGUGGGGUGGAAAGCCUUGUGCGGCUGAGGAUGGGCCCGCGGCCUAUCAGCUUGUUGGUGGGGUGANGGCCUACCAAGGCGACGACGGGUAGCCGGCCUGAGAGGGCGACCGGCCACACUGGGACUGAGACACGGCCCAGACUCCUACGGGAGGCAGCAGUGGGGAAUCUUGCGCAAUGGGCGAAAGCCUGACGCAGCGACGCCGCGUGAGGGAU
Molecule: ribosomal RNA, 381 nt
Filed under: uncultured bacterium
Lineage: Bacteria
Description: bacterial SSU rRNA
Rfam family: Bacterial small subunit ribosomal RNA
Source: RNAcentral